GCCCGCUCAGAAACUCAAAGGAAGUUGACGGGGCCCGCACAAGCGGAGGAGCAUGUGGUUUAAUUCGAUGAUACGCGAGGAACCUUACCUGGGCUCGAACGUAAGAUGACUGUAGGUGAAAGCUUACAUCUCUUCGGAGCAUUUUACGAGGUGCUGCAUGGUUGUCGUCAGCUCGUGCCGUGAGGUGUCGGGUUAAGUCCCAUAACGAGCGCAACCCCUACCUUUAGUUGCCAUCAGGUUAAGCUGGGGACUCUAAAGGAACUGCCUACGCAAGUAGUGAGGAAGGCGGGGAUGACGUCAAAUCAGCACGGCCCUUACGUCCAGGGCUACACACGUGCUACAAUGGCCGAUACAGAGGGCAGCUACCUGGUGACAGGAUGCAAAUCUCCAAAGUCGGUCUCAGUUCGGAUCGGAGUCUGCAACCCGACUCCGUGAAGUUGGAUUCGCUAGUAAUCGCGCAUCAGCCAUGGCGCGGUGAAUACGUUCCCGGGCCUU
RNAcentral lists this ribosomal RNA (495 nucleotides) under uncultured Sphingobacteriales bacterium. RNAcentral describes it as "bacterial SSU rRNA". It matches the Rfam family "Bacterial small subunit ribosomal RNA", at positions 887 to 1382 of the family's 1533-position model. The record is from RNAcentral. Lineage: Bacteria; Pseudomonadati; Bacteroidota; Sphingobacteriia; Sphingobacteriales.